RNAcentral lists this long non-coding RNA (3216 nucleotides) under Sus scrofa (pig). Its description in RNAcentral is "lncRNA (ENSSSCG00025070622.1)". The record is from RNAcentral. Lineage: Eukaryota; Metazoa; Chordata; Mammalia; Artiodactyla; Suidae.
GUCCAGAGAUCCUCUGUCUUACCAUCUCUAGAAAAUAGUUCUCAGGGCUUCUGCAAGGUGAGAGAGGGCAGUUGCCUGGCUGAGCACAGAAAAGGGGAAUAUAAGAACUUGAUUCCUUUUUAUUGCCAGAUAAUACUCCACUGUACAUAUAUAGCACAUUUUGUUUACCCAGUCAUCAUUUGCUGGUCAUCUGGGUUGUUUCCAUUUUUUUUUUUGGUUAUUAUGAAUAAUGCUAUUAUGAACAUUCCUGUUUAAAUAUGUGGACAUAGGUUUUUACUUACAUUUUUUUUCAUUUUUAAAAGUUUUAUUAACCAAUAGUCGAUUUACAAUGUCGUGAUAAUUUCUGCCAUACAACAGAGUGAUUCAGUUAUGCCUGUACACACACAUGCAUUCUUUUUCAGAUUCUUUUCCCAUAUAGAUGAGUCACAGAAAGUUUUUAUUUUUCUUGGUACAUACCUGGGCGGGGGGAUGCUGGACUACAUGGCAACUCUAUGUUUAACUUUUUGAAGAACUGCCAAACUGUUUUCCAAAGUGUCUGCACCAUUUUACAUUCUUACCAACCAUGUAUGAGAGUUCAGAGCUAUCCACAUAUUUGUCAUUAUUAUUGUUAUUGUCUUUUUUAUUUUAGUCAUACUAGUAGGUAUAAAGUAGUAUUUCAUUGUGGUUUUGAUUUAUAUUUCCUUGAUGACUAGUAAUUUUGAGCAUCUCUUCAUGAACUUAUUGACCAUUUGGAUAUCUUCUUUGAAGAAAUGUCCACAUCCUUUGUCCAUUUUACAAUUGAGUGAUUCAUCUUUUUGUUGAGUUUUAUUUUUUUAUUUUUAUUUUAUUUUAUUUUAUUUUUUUUGUCUUUUUAGAGCCACAUCUGCAGUGUAUGGAAGUUCCCAGGCUAGGGGUAUAAUCAGAGCUAUAGCUCCUGGCCUAUGCCACAGCCAUAGCAAUGUGGGAUCCGAGACGUAUCUGUGACCUACACCACAACUCAUGGCAACACCGGAUGCUUAACCCACUGAGUGAAGCCAGGGAUCAAACCCGCAUCCUCAUUGAUACUAGCUGGGUUCAUUUCCACUGAGCCACGACAGUUUAGUUUGAAGAGUUUUUUGUCUUUUCUGGACAUGAGUCCCUUACUUGAUGUAUGAUUUGCAGAUAUUUUCUCCUAUUCUAUGGGUUGUCUUUUCAAGUUCUUGGCAAUAUCCUUUAAAGCACUGAAGUUUUAAAUUCUGAUGAAAUCUGUUUUACCAAUUUUUUCUUUUGUCACUUGUGCCUUUGGUAUCAUAUCUAAGAAAUUUGGAUAGUACAAGGUGACAAAAAUUUACAUCUAUGUUUUCUAAGAGUUUAUAGUUUUAGCUCUUACAUUUAGGUCUUUGAUCCAUUUUGAGUUAAUUUUUGUAUAUAGUGUGAUGUAGAGGGUCCAACUUUAUUAUUUUGCACAUGGAUGUCCAGUUGUCCCAGCACCAUUUACUGGAAGGAGUGUUACCCCAUUAAAUUGUCAUGAUACAGUGAUUAAAAAUCAGUGUAAUGGUCUGUUUACUCUCAGUAUUAUUCCAUUGAUCUAUGUGUCUAUCUUUAUGCCAGUACUACAGUAUCUUGAUUAUUCUAGUUUUGAGGUAAGUUUUCAAAUGGGGAGUAAAGUAUGAAUUCUUCAGUCUUGCUCUUCUUUUUCAAGAUUAUUUUAGUUGCUCCACAUGUUUUGUAUUCUCAUAUGAAUUUUAGGAUAAGAGUGUCAAUUUCUAUAAAGAUGUCAGUUGAGAUUUUUUUUUUUAGGGCUGCACCUGUAGCAUAUGGAAGUUCCCAGGCUAGGGGUCAGUUUGGAGCUAUAGCUGCUGGCCUACAUCACAGCAGCAGCAACGCCAGAUCCGAACCACGUCUGCGACCCACACCUCAGCUCACGAUAAGGCCAGAUCCUUAACCCACUGAGCAAGGCCAGGGAUUGAACCUGCAGCCUCAUGGCUCCUAGUUCAGAUUCGUUUCCGCUGCACCACAACGGGAACUCCCGGGUUUGUUUUUUCUUUUAAUCAAAAGAAGUGUUUGCGAGUCCCUGGUGGCCCUAGUGGUUAAGAAUCUGUUGUCACUGCUGUGGCUCAGUUUUGAUCCCUGGCCUGGGAACUUCCAUGUGCUGUGGGCAAGGCCAAUAAAUAAAUAAAUAAAACGUGCGCGUGCACAUGCGCGCGCGCACGCGCGCGCACACACACACACACACACACAAAGAAGUGUUGGAUUUUGUUAGUUUUUUUUUCCUAAAUUUGAGAUGACCAUGUAUUUUUAUUUCUUUUAUUCUAUUAAUAUAGUGUAUUAUAUUGAUUAAUUUUCAGAUGUUAAACCAACUUUAUAUGCCUAGGAUAAAUCUAAUGUGGUCAUGGUAUAUAAUGCUGUUUGUAUGUUACUAGACUUGGUUUACAGUAUUUUUUUUGAAUACUGGUAUGUAGUUUUCCUUUUUAUUUUGAUGUUUUUGUUUGGUAUUAGUAUCAGGAUAAUACUAACCUUUUAGAAUGAUUUGAGAAUUUUUGCUUAUGCUUCUUUAAAAGAGUCUGAAGGAUUGGUAUUAAUUCUCCUUCAAAAAUUUAGUAGAAUACAUCUAGGCCUAUGUUUUUCUUUGUGGGCAGUUUUUAAAUUGCUAAUUUAAUGUCAUAUUGUUGUUAGGACUCAUUAUCAGUGAAUAUUCAUCUUGUAAAAAUACCUAUUGAUAUUUGAUUAUUCAGCCACCUUUCUUCUGUAUAAUAUCUGAAUAGAAAGAGAUUUUGAUAUACCUACGUAAACCUUUUUUCUUCUGUUAAAGGUCUAUAAUUACUCUGGAAUCAGCAAGCCAUGGCAUCAAAGAAAUUUGCUGUUAAAGUAAGUAAUGCUUAAUAAUCUUUUUUAAAAUGGUUAAUCACUUUCUAAUAUAACUGAGUGGUAUGUUAAUUAAAAAUUGAAGCCCUGAACUUUUCUACUCUUUAAGAAACUCUUUACUUAAAGUAGGUGAUUGAAAAUUUGCAUAUUAAUGUAGUUCCUGUCGUGGUGUAGCGGAAAGGAAUCGGACCAGGAACCAUGAGGUUCAAUCCCUGGCCUCGCUCGUUGGGUCAAGGAUCUGGCAUUGCCGUGAGCUGUGGUGUAGGUUGCAGACAUGGCUCGGUCUGGUGUUGCUGUGGCGUAGGCCGGCGGCUACAGCUCUGAUUAGACCCCUAGUCUGGGAACAUCCAUCUGCCGAGGGUGUGGCCCUUAAAAAAAAAAAAGAAAAAAAAA